AAUUGUGGGUACAGGAAGCACAAAUCCCUCCAAGUCAUAUAUUCAUCAGUGGCAGAGGCUUCGGAGACAGACAGCUCAUCUCCAUCAAGCCAUACAUAGCCUCCACACUGCCCCUGUGACGAUUCCAUCCCUGGGUCCUGGAGUGACUGAGGAUAGAGGUCAGCUGAUGUCACUGGAUGGAUAACUUUGUGUUUUCUGAUUGUUCAGUUUUCAUUUGUGGCAAGUGUUCUCUGGACAUUGAUGUGAGACCUUAAGAUCUACACACUUUGCACCAAACCCCGUGGGUCCAUUCAAUGGCCUCUUCCACAGGCAUCCUUGUCCUUGCUCUUACAAUAUGCCUCCUUUGAUGAUGCCUCUCACUUUCCAAAAUGUUUGCUUUUGGCCAGGAGUUUGUAUAUAUCCUUACCUCAGACCAUUUCUUCCUCUAUCCAAAGUUGAUGCUAAGAGUACUCCUCCAGACUCUGCCCACAGGGCCGGUUUCCCCUCGCCAGUGUGGUUCAGAGUUACCAGUGGACUUGUAGUUUCACAACUCUCCACUAUUGGUCUGAUACAGUAUUUCAAGCUCACCCUUCUGUGAAUAAGGUUCAGAGUGCUUUUCCUCUUUCUAUCAGAUAGCUGUAGGACACUCUCCCCUCCCCC
RNAcentral lists this long non-coding RNA (639 nucleotides) under Homo sapiens (human). RNAcentral's name for it is "HSALNT0252406". The record is from RNAcentral. Lineage: Eukaryota; Metazoa; Chordata; Mammalia; Primates; Hominidae.